CCCUUAGAUGUUCUGGGCCGCACGCGCGCUACACUGACAGGGCCAGCGAGUACAUCACCUUGGCCGAGAGGUCUGGGUAAUCUUGUUAAACCCUGUCGUGCUGGGGAUAGAGCAUUGCAAUUAUUGCUCUUCAACGAGGAAUGCCUAGUAGGCACAAGUCAUCAGCUUGUGCCGAUUACGUCCCUGCCCUUUGUACACACCGCCCGUCGCACCUACCGAUUGAAUGACUCGGUGAAAAAUUGGGACUGUGAUUGAAAUUGCUUCAUUGCGAAUUUAAUUAUGGAAACUUUCUUUAACCUAGGCAUUUAGAGGAAGGUGAAGUCGUGACA
RNAcentral lists this ribosomal RNA (329 nucleotides) under uncultured eukaryote. RNAcentral's name for it is "partial 18S ribosomal RNA". It matches the Rfam family "Eukaryotic small subunit ribosomal RNA", at positions 1470 to 1796 of the family's 1831-position model. The record is from RNAcentral.